ACUCAAAUGAAUUGACGGGGGUCCGCACAAGCGGUGGAACAUGUGGUUUAAUUCGACAAUACGCGAGGAACCUUACCUGGGCUUGACAUGUACUUGACCGCUGUAGAAAUAUGGUUUUCCAAGAGUAAUCUUGGACGGGUACACAGGUGCUGCAUGGCUGUCGUCAGCUCGUGUCGUGAGAUGUUGGGUUAAGUCCUCUAACGAGCGCAACUCUUACUGUCAGUUGCUAUCCUUCGGGAGCACUCUGACGGGACUGCCUGGGAAACCAGGAGGAAGGUGGGAACGACGUCAAGUCAUCAUGGUCCUUAUGCCCAGGGCUACACACGUGUUACAAUGGUCGGUACAACGGGCUGCAAACUGGUAACAGUAAGCUAAUCCCUUUAAAGCCGAUCUAAGUUCGGAUUGAGGUCUGCAACUCGACCUCAUGAAGUUGAAAUCGCUAGUAAUCGCGCAUCAGCAACGGCGCGGUGAAUACGUUCUCGGGCCUUGUACACACCGCCCGU
Molecule: ribosomal RNA, 503 nt
Filed under: uncultured bacterium
Lineage: Bacteria
Description: partial 16S ribosomal RNA
Rfam family: Bacterial small subunit ribosomal RNA
Source: RNAcentral